Molecule: transfer RNA, 75 nt
Filed under: Promethearchaeota archaeon
Lineage: Archaea; Promethearchaeati; Promethearchaeota
Description: Candidatus Lokiarchaeota archaeon (microbial mat metagenome) tRNA-His
Rfam family: tRNA
About the family: Transfer RNA (tRNA) molecules are approximately 80 nucleotides in length. Their secondary structure includes four short double-helical elements and three loops (D, anti-codon, and T loops).
Source: RNAcentral
GCGAACGUGGUCUAGUCUCGCUAUGAUUCCUGGUUGUGGCCCAGGAGCUCCCGGGUGCGAAUCCCGGCGUUCGCC